Molecule: small nucleolar RNA, 81 nt
Organism: Rattus norvegicus (Norway rat)
Lineage: Eukaryota; Metazoa; Chordata; Mammalia; Rodentia; Muridae
Gene: Snord45a
Product: small nucleolar RNA, C/D box 45A
Source: Ensembl
GGUCAAUGAUGUGUUGGCAUGUAUUAUCUGAAUUUGCUGAUGUGUCCUAACAUUUGAGCUCUAGAAUUACGCUGAGACCUU